CCUACGGGAGACAGCAGUGGGGAAUAUUGCACAAUGGGGGAAACCCUGAUGCAGCGACGCCGCGUGAGUGAAGAAGUAUUUCGGUAUGUAAAGCUCUAUCAGCAGGGAAGAAAUAGCGACCUUUGGGUCGCCAGACGGUACCUGACUAAGAAGCCCCGGCUAACUACGUGCCAGCAGCCGCGGUAAGACGUAGGGGGCAAGCGUUAUCCGGAUUUACUGGGUGUAAAGGGAGCGUAGACGGCAGCACAAGUCUGAAGUGAAAUGCCGGGGCUUAACCCCGGAACUGCUUUGGAGACUGUGCAGCUAGAGUGCAGUAGAGGUAAGUGGAAGUCCUAGUGUAGCGGUGAAAUGCGUAGAUAUUAGGAGGAACACCAGUGGCGAAGGCGGCUUACUGGACUGUAACUGACGUUGAGGCUCGAAAGCGUGGGGAGCAAACAGGAUUAGAUACCCCUGUAGUC
RNAcentral lists this ribosomal RNA (458 nucleotides) under uncultured bacterium. RNAcentral's name for it is "partial 16S ribosomal RNA". It matches the Rfam family "Bacterial small subunit ribosomal RNA", at positions 338 to 795 of the family's 1533-position model. The record is from RNAcentral.